ACUGGAACUGAGACACGGUCCAGACUCCUACGGGAGGCAGCAGCAAGGAAUCUUCCACAAUGGGCGAAAGCCUGAUGGAGCAACGCCGCGUGCAGGAUGAAGGCCCUCGGGUCGUAAACUGCUUUUAUGAGUGAAGAAUAUGACGGUAACUCAUGAAUAAGCACCGGCUAACUACGUGCCAGCAGCCGCGGUCAUACGUAGGGUGCAAGCAUUAUCCGGAGUGACUGGGCGUAAAGAGUUGCGUAGGUGGCUAGUAAAGUGAAUAGUGAAACCUGGUGGCUCAACCAUACAGACUAUUAUUCAAACUCACUAACUCGAGAGUGGUAGAGGUAACUGGAAUUUCUUGUGUAGGAGUGAAAUCCGUAGAUAUAAGAAGGAACACCAAUGGCGUAGGCAGGUUACUGGACCAUUUCUGACACUAAGGCACGAAAGCGUGGGGAGCGAACCGGAUUAGAUACCCGGGUAGUCCACGCCGUAAACGAUGGAUACUAGCUGUUGGAGGUAUCGACCCCUUCAGUAGCGAAGCUAACGCGUUAAGUAUCCCGCCUGUGGAGUACGGUCGCAAGACUAAAACAUAAAGGAAUUGACGGGGAUCAGCACAAGCGGUGGAUUAUGUUCUUUAAUUCGAUGAUAACCGAUGAACCUUACCAGGGUUUGACAUCCAGGGAAGCACUACGAAAGUAGCGUGUGCCUUUUGGAACCCUGUGACAGGUGUUGCAUGGCCGUCGUCAGCUCGUGUCGUGAGAUGUUUGGUUAAGUCCAUCAACGAGCGCAACCCUUGUGAAUAGUUGUAUUUUUCUAUUCAGACUGCUCUAGUAAUAGGGAGGAAGGAGGGGAUGAUGUCAGGUCAGUAUUACCCUUACACCCUGGGCUAGAAACAUAAUACAAUGGCCGGUACAAUGCGCAGCGAAGCAGCAAUGUGGAGCAAAUCGCAUCAAAGCCGGUCCCAGUUCGGAUAAGAGGCUGAAACUCGCCUCUUUGAAGCCGGAAUCGCUAGUAAUCGCAAAUCAGCAAGUUGCGGUGAAUACGUCACUGAUCUUGUACACACCGCCCGUCAAACCAUGAAAGUGACCAACACCCGAAGUCCGAUUCGUCGGCCUAAGGUGGGGGGCAUGAUUGGGGUU
This 1124-nucleotide ribosomal RNA is filed under the name uncultured bacterium NoosaAW33. RNAcentral describes it as "bacterial SSU rRNA". It matches the Rfam family "Bacterial small subunit ribosomal RNA", at positions 312 to 1482 of the family's 1533-position model. Lineage: Bacteria; Candidatus Saccharimonadota. The record is from RNAcentral.